UGGGGAAUUUUGGACAAUGGGCGAAAGCCUGAUCCAGCAAUGCCGCGUGUGUGAAGAAGGCCUUCGGGUUGUAAAGCACUUUUGUCCGGAAAGAAAUCCUUGGCUCUAAUACAGUCGGGGGAUGACGGUACCGGAAGAAUAAGCACCGGCUAACUACGUGCCAGCAGCCGCGGUAAUACGUAGGGUGCAAGCGUUAAUCGGAAUUACUGGGCGUAAAGCGUGCGCAGGCGGUUUGCUAAGACCGAUGUGAAAUCCCCGGGCUCAACCUGGGAACUGCAUUGGUGACUGGCAGGCUAGAGUAUGGCAGAGGGGUGAUAAUGAUCCACGUGUAGCAGUGAAAUGCGUAGAGAUGUGGAGGAAUACCGAUGGCGAAGGCAGCCCCCUGGGCCAAUACUGACGCUCAUGCACGAAAGCGUGGGGAGCAAACAGGAUUAGAUAACCCUGGGUAGUCCACGCCCUAAACGAUGUCAACUAGUUGUUGGGGAUUCAUUUCCUUAG
Molecule: ribosomal RNA, 498 nt
Filed under: uncultured bacterium
Lineage: Bacteria
Description: partial 16S ribosomal RNA
Rfam family: Bacterial small subunit ribosomal RNA
Source: RNAcentral